GAACGAAGCACCGGAGAAUGAUUCUUCGGAUGAAGUCUCUUGUGACUGAGUGGCGGACGGGUGAGUAACGCGUGGGUAACCUGCCUCACACAGGGGGAUAACAGUUGGAAACGACCGCUAAUACCGCAUAACCCGCUGGUGCCGCAUGGCACUGACGGAAAAGAUUUAUCGGUGUGAGAUGGACCCGCGUCUGAUUAGCCAGUUGGCAGGGUAACGGCCUACCAAAGCGACGAUCAGUAGCCGGCCUGAGAGGGUGAACGGCCACAUUGGGACUGAGACACGGCCCAGACUCCUGCGGGAGGCAGCAGUGGGGAAUAUUGCACAAUGGGGGAAACCCUGAUGCAGCGACGCCGCGUGAGUGAAGAAGUAUUUCGGUAUGUAAAGCUCUAUCAGCAGGGAAGAAAAUGACGGUACCUGAUUAAGAAGCCCCGGCUAACUACGUGCCACCAGCCGCGGUAAUACGUAGGGGGCAAGCGUUAUCCAGAUUUACUGGGUGUAAAGGGAGCGUAGACGGUGAUGCAAGUCAGAAGUGAAAGCCCGGGGCUCAACUCCGGGACUGCUUUCCAAACUGUGUGACUGGAGCGCAGGAGCAAUACCCAGAAUUCCUGGUGUAGCGGUGAAAUGCGUAGAUCUCUAGGGAAACACCAGNGGCGAAGGCGGCANAAAGGAAAGNAANNGACGNNGAGGCUCGAAAACGUGGGGGGCUCUCAAGGUGNNNNNNNNNANNAAACAAAAAAAAAAGAGGGCUCACUGAUUGUUGUCGGGGAGCAAAGCUCUUCGGUGCCGCAGCAAACGCAUUAAAUAUUCCACCUGGGGAGUACGUUCGCAAGAAUGAAACUCAAAGGAAUUGACGGGGACCCGCACAAGCGGUGGAGCAUGUGGUUUAAUUCGAAGCAACGCGAAGAACCUUACCAGGUCUUGACAUCCCUCUGACCGGGAUUUAAUCAUCCCUUUCCUUCGGGACAGAGGAGACAGGUGGUGCAUGGUUGUCGUCAGCUCGUGUCGUGAGAUGUUGGGUUAAGUCCCGCAACGAGCGCAACCCUUACCUUCAGUAGCCAGCGGUUCGGCCGGGCACUCUGGAGGGACUGCCAGGGACAACCUGGAGGAAGGUGGGGAUGACGUCAAAUCAUCAUGCCCCUUAUGAUCUGGGCUACACACGUGCUACAAUGGCGUAAACAAAGGGAAGCGAGACAGUGAUGGCAAGCAAAUCUCAGAAAUAACGUCUCAGUUCGGAUUGCAGUCUGCAACUCGACUGCAUGAAGCUGGAAUCGCUAGUAAUC
This 1280-nucleotide ribosomal RNA is filed under the name uncultured bacterium. RNAcentral describes it as "bacterial SSU rRNA". It matches the Rfam family "Bacterial small subunit ribosomal RNA", at positions 64 to 1343 of the family's 1533-position model. The record is from RNAcentral.